Oryzias latipes (Japanese medaka) is the source of this 284-nucleotide non-coding RNA. The record is from RefSeq and is a predicted model, not a curated record. Lineage: Eukaryota; Metazoa; Chordata; Actinopteri; Beloniformes; Adrianichthyidae.
AAACCAGUGUGGAUCGAUGCUCACUCGAUCGGCGAAUAUUGCCCAGAAUGCACUGCGUUCAUACCAGAAUGCAUUGCGUGUGACCCACAAUACACUGCGCUUGAAUUAUUCGAAGAUGGCGGACGGUUGCGCGAGAAAGAGGACUUAAAAAUGGACUGACGAGGAUAAGGAAAAUCUGAUCCAUCUGUGGAUGGAGAAAGAUAGCCUGUUUGUUAUCAGGCAAGCUCGUGCCGGAUGGGAAGUCAUGUGUGUCACAGUUGGAGCUGAAAGGAAAGCAGAGAUUU